RNAcentral lists this ribosomal RNA (110 nucleotides) under Pteropus alecto (black flying fox). The record is from RNAcentral. Lineage: Eukaryota; Metazoa; Chordata; Mammalia; Chiroptera; Pteropodidae.
GUCUGCGGCCAUACCCUGAACACACCUGUGUGAUCUCGGAAGCUAAGCAGGUUCGGUCUUGGGUAGUACUAGGAUGGGAGACCACCUAGGAAAACCAGAUGCUGUAGGUG